AACCUGGUUGAUCUUGCCAGUAGUCAUAUGCUUGUCUCAAAGAUUAAGCCAUGCAAGUGAAAGUAUAUAUAUAUUUUAUAUGUAGAAACUGCGAACGGCUCAUUAAAACAGUUAUAGUCUACUUGACAUUUUUAUUAUAAGGAUAACUACGGAAAAGCUGUAGCUAAUACUUGCUUUAUUAUCCUUUGAUUUUAUAUCUUAGGAUAAGUACUUGUUAGGCCUUAUAAGAAAAAAGUUAUUAACUUAAGGAAUUAUAACAAAGAAGUAACACGUAAUAAAUUUAUUUUAUUUAGUGUGUAUCAAUCGAGUUUCUGACCUAUCAGCUUUUGAUGUUAGGGUAUUGGCCUAACAUGGCUAUGACGGGUAACGGGGAAUUAGAGUUCGAUUCCGGAGAGGGAGCCUGAGAAAUAGCUACCACAUCUAAGGAAGGCAGCAGGCGCGUAAAUUACCCAAUUCUAAAGAAGAGAGGUAGUGACAAGAAAUAACAAUGCAAGGCCAAUUUUUGGUUUUGUAAUUGGAAUGGUGGGAAUUUAAAACCUUCCCAGAGUAACAAUUGGAGGGCAAGUCUGGUGCCAGCAGCCGCGGUAAUUCCAGCUCCAAUAGCGUAUAUUAAAAUUGUUGCAGUUAAAACGCUCGUAGUUGAAUUUCAAAGAAUCGAUAUUUUAUUGCAACUAUAUUAGGGGAACUAUUUUAGCUUCCGCUUUAAUACGCUUCCUCUAUUAUUAUGUUCUUUAAAUAACAAAGAUUCUUUUUAAAAUCCCCACUUUGCUUUUAUGCUUUUUGGGGAUUUUGUUACUUUGAGUAAAUUAGAGUGUUCAAAGCAAACAGUUAAAGCAUUUUACUGUGUUUGAAUACUAUAGCAUGGAAUAACAAAAUUGAACAGGCUGAAAUUUUUUUGUUCUUUUUUCUUAUUUUGGCUUAGUUACGAUUAAUAGGAGUAGCUUGGGGACAUUCGUAUUCAGAUGUCAGAGGUGAAAUUCUUAGAUUUUCUGGAGACGAACAACUGCGAAAGCAUUUGUCUAAAAUACUUCCAUUAAUCAAGAACGAAAGUUAAGGGAGUGAAGACGAUCAGAUACCGUCGUAAUCUUAACCAUAAACUAUGCCGACUAGGUGUUGGAUGAAAGUGUUAAAAAUAAAAGUCAUCUUUCGAGGUGACUUUUAGAUUGCUUCCUUCAGUACCUUAUGAGAAAUCAAAGUCUUUGGGUUCUGGGGCGAGUAUUCGCGCAAGCGAGAAAGUUAAAAGAAUUGACGGAAGGGCACCACCAGGCGUGGAGCUUGCGGCUUAAUUUGACUCAACACGGGGAAACUCACUAGUUUAAGACAAGAGUAGGAUUGACAGAUUAAUAGCUCUUUCUUGAUUUCUUGGAUGGUGAUGCAUGGCCGUUUUUAGUUCGUGAAUAUGAUUUGUCUGGUUAAUUCCGAUAACGAACGAGAUCUUAACCUGCUAAUUAGCGGUAAGUACGCCAUAUUCUUAAUUGAAAUUGAAUAUAGGUAAUUAUACAUUUAUUCAGUGAUCAAAUUAGGAUAUUUUUAUUAAAAUAUCCUUUUCCCUGUUCUACUAAUAAUUUGUUUUUUACUCUAUUUCUCUCUUCUUUUAAGAAUGUACUUGCUUGAUUGUAAAGCUUCUUAGAGGAACAUUGUGUGUCUAACACAAGGAAGUUUAAGGCAACAACAGGUCUGUGAUGUCCUUAGAUGAACUAGGCUGCACGCGUGCUACACUGAUAUAUAUAACGAGUUAUUAAAAAUAUGCAUUUAUUUGUAUCUUUGAUGCUUAUAUUUUGCAUACUUUUCCUCCGCCGAAAGGCGUAGGUAAUCUUUAUCAAUAUAUAUCGUGAUGGGGAUAGAUUAUUGCAAUUAUUAAUCUUGAACGAGGAAUGCCUAGUAAGCAUGAUUCAUCAGAUUGUGCUGACUACGUCCCUGCCCUUUGUACACACCGCCCGUCGCUCCUACCGAUUGAAAGAUAUGAUGAAUUGUUUGGACAAGAAAAAUGGAAUUAUAUUCUUUUUUUUCUGGAAAAACCGUAAAUCCUAUCUUUUAAAGGAAGGAGAAGUCGUAACAAGGUUUCCGUAGGUGAACCUGCGGAAGGAUCAUUA
RNAcentral lists this ribosomal RNA (2093 nucleotides) under Plasmodium reichenowi. Its description in RNAcentral is "SSU rRNA". It matches the Rfam family "Eukaryotic small subunit ribosomal RNA". Lineage: Eukaryota; Apicomplexa; Aconoidasida; Haemosporida; Plasmodiidae. The record is from RNAcentral.